This 589-nucleotide ribosomal RNA is filed under the name uncultured Candidimonas sp. Its description in RNAcentral is "bacterial SSU rRNA". It matches the Rfam family "Bacterial small subunit ribosomal RNA", at positions 640 to 1233 of the family's 1533-position model. Lineage: Bacteria; Pseudomonadati; Pseudomonadota; Betaproteobacteria; Burkholderiales; Alcaligenaceae. The record is from RNAcentral.
GCUAGAGUAUGUCAGAGGGGGGUAGAAUUCCACGUGUAGCAGUGAAAUGCGUAGAGAUGUGGAGGAAUACCGAUGGCGAAGGCAGCCCCCUGGGAUAAUACUGACGCUCAGGCACGAAAGCAUGGGGAGCAAACAGGAUUAGAUACCCUGGUAGUCCACGCCCUAAACGAUGUCAACUAGCUGUUGGGGCCUUCGGGCCUUGGGUGGCGCAGCUAACGCAUUAAGUUAUCCGCCUGGGGAGUACGGUCGCAAGAUUAAAACUCAAAGGAAUUGACGGGGACCCGCACAAGCGGUGGAUGAUGUGGAUUAAUUCGAUGCAACGCGAAAAACCUUACCUACCCUUGACAUGUCUGGAAUCCCGAAGAGAUUUGGGAGUGCUCGCAAGAGAACCGGAACACAGGUGCUGCAUGGCUGUCGUCAGCUCGUGUCGUGAGAUGUUGGGUUAAGUCCCGCAACGAGCGCAACCCUUGCCAUUAGUUGCUACGAAAGGGCACUCUAAUGGGACUGCCGGUGACAAACCGGAGGAAGGUGGGGAUGACGUCAAGUCCUCAUGGCCCUUAUGGGUAGGGCUUCACACGUCAUACAAUGG